CGCACUUGUUCCCUCAGUUUGAUUGGCAUGCUUUUUCUCAGCUUCUACCUGGGGGCAAGGAAACUGCUGUAUCAGUUUUCUACCCUAGAGAAGAUGUGGUUGAUCAAGGUUAUACAACCUUUGGCUACAUGAAAAUGCAAAUGGUAGUAGCUCAUGGCGGGCGCUGUGCCGAACGUAUUGUAUUUGGUGAUGACAUUACUG
This 201-nucleotide unclassified non-coding RNA is filed under the name Hevea brasiliensis (rubber tree). The record is from RNAcentral. Lineage: Eukaryota; Viridiplantae; Streptophyta; Magnoliopsida; Malpighiales; Euphorbiaceae.